This 368-nucleotide ribosomal RNA is filed under the name uncultured organism. RNAcentral's name for it is "bacterial SSU rRNA". It matches the Rfam family "Bacterial small subunit ribosomal RNA", at positions 526 to 896 of the family's 1533-position model. The record is from RNAcentral.
CGUAGGUGGCAAGCGUUGUCCGGAUUUAUUGGGUUUAAAGGGUGCGUAGGCGGCCCUGUAAGUCAGUGGUGAAAUAUCUUAGCUUAACUGAGAGGGUGCCAUUGAUACUGCGGGGCUUGAGUACAGAUGAGGUAGGCGGAAUUGACGGUGUAGCGGUGAAAUGCAUAGAUAUCGUCAAGAACACCGAUAGCGAAGGCAGCUUACCAAGCUGUAACUGACGCUGAGGCACGAAAGUGUGGGGAUCAAACAGGAUUAGAUACCCUGGUAGUCCACACUGUAAACGUUGAUGACUCGAUGUUGGCGAUACACAGCCAGCGUCCAAGAGCAAUCGUUAAGUCAUCCACCUGGGGAGUACGCCGGCAACGGUG